GAUGAAGAACGCAGCAAAAUGCGAUAAGUAAUGUGAAUUGCAGAAUUCAGUGAAUCAUCGAAUCUUUGAACGCACAUUGCGCCCGCCAGUAUUCUGGCGGGCAUGCCUGUUCGAGCGUCAUUUCAACCCUCAAGCUCAGCUUGGUGUUGGGACUCGCGGUAACCCGCGUUUCCCAAAUCGAUUGGCGGUCACGUCGAGCUUCCAUAGCGUAGUAAUCAUACACCUCGUUACUGGUAAUCGUCGCGGCCACGCCGUAAAACCCCAACUUCUGAAUGUUGACCUCGGAUCAGGUAGGAAUACCCGCUGAACUUAAGCAUAUCAAUAAGCGGAGGA
RNAcentral lists this unclassified non-coding RNA (333 nucleotides) under soil metagenome. RNAcentral's name for it is "partial contains 5.8S ribosomal RNA, internal transcribed spacer 2, and large subunit ribosomal RNA". The stretch from base 1 to 120 matches the Rfam family "5.8S ribosomal RNA", at positions 35 to 154 of the family's 154-position model. The record is from RNAcentral.